Long non-coding RNA from Chiloscyllium plagiosum (whitespotted bambooshark), 1183 nucleotides. RefSeq lists it as uncharacterized. Lineage: Eukaryota; Metazoa; Chordata; Chondrichthyes; Orectolobiformes; Hemiscylliidae. The record is from RefSeq and is a predicted model, not a curated record.
UGAACGAUAGAAUAGUCUUGAUGUGCUGAAUGGCCUACAUCUGCUCCUACAUUGCCUAAUAUGUCCCUUUAAUUACUUUCCUGUUACAAAAGUGACACUUCGGAGAAAUAAGUUAUGGCUUUGGCUAUAGAAGCAAUUUGGAACAAUUUAAGGCACUUUAUAAAAGCUUUUAUUUAAACCUCUCGACUUCUCUGCACCUUUUGUAAAAAAUGAUCAAGCUAUUGGCCGCCUGUCGUCAAAAGCCUGCUUUGGCCUGGUGUCAGUUUUGUCUGAUUAGGUUUCCAGUGGUAUGUUAAACAACGUGAAAUGUGUAAAUAUAGGUUGCAGUAAAAUAUACCACAUCUGCAACAAUGGCAACUGAGACCUGUUAGUGCACAAAAGUAAAUUACUUUUUGUUUAGCAAUGACAGCAUUUCAGCAACUUUUUUUUCAGACAGGAGAUGUACUUUCCUCUGUUGUCAGAGGUUGUGGUAACCUUUCAAUUUUCUCCAUUUCCUUUUUUUUAACGUUAUUUGACUGGUUUCCGCUGAGCCGAGCUCAGAGGAGCAGACUCGCCACUGUCAGAGUUGUGAGUAACACUCAGUUUAUCGGCGGCUCGUUUUGCCAGGACACCCCAACUCUGUGACAAUGAAUAAGAUCCUGAUUUGCCUCCUCAUCUGCAUGGCGCUUCUUGUGAGCAUCUCUAUACAGAGCCAAACACCAUUACCGCAAAUGUCGAAUACAACAAAAAGCGAAGCUGCUGGGUUUACCUCAGUCACUGUCAAGCUGCUGGUUUUUUCGCUUCUCCCAGUCUUCCUGCAGAGAGUACUCUCCUAACCGAAUAGCACAGAGGCAGCUCCACCAGCUCUCUCAUUCAGCAUGGAGACCAUUCUGCACAGCCAACAUUCAUCUUCAGAUUCACUCUCAACGUUCAUCGCUAACUGAGCCUGAUGCUGCCUCCUCAGUCAGUUGAUUGAGGCAUGCUCAUCUACCAGUUAUCUCUCUCCAUUCUUGAUUUCUAUUAAUCUUUUUACUCUGAUCUGCCAAGUAAUUGGAAUCGAGAAAUAUAUCAUGUAAAGUUAAAUCAAUACGUAAAUCAAAAGCAUCAAUGUUCACUCUAGUGUGACUGAAUAUCAUUCAUGGCAUGUGUUGACAUUUAAAGUGAUGAUUUUUUUAACAAUAAACAAAAUCUUGGUAUACUAUCA